CCACCCCAAGGGCUCUCUCUCUACAACUCUAAAAGUAUUUGCUGCCACCACAUGUUUUUAGAGGGACAUGACCCCUGGAUCAACUGAGGAGUAUUCAGUUGAUCCCAAUUUGAAAGUUAAACUACGUCAUAAAAUCAAGUGACGUAGUAGUACAAGACUUAAACAAGAGCGAGAAUUCCAAUCAAUCAUAAUGCACACGUGACAGAAAUGCAUACCACUGAUUGGCUAAGAGUUUUGCGUACCUGGGCCUUUAACUCAUUUUCCCCAGACCAUGCUUUCAAACUACAAUCUCAGGCCGCUCAUCCGUUGAGCUCUACAAGACUGGAGAGAAAAUUCACCAAGAUGUCCGUUUUAAGUGCAACAAGCUUCAUUUAAACUGAGCAAGAGACAAUUCAAGACUUCUUGACAUCUUCAGCUUGUCCACAUUGACGGCAAGGGCAGCGUGACAGUCCAUCAGCAUUGCAGUGUUGUCUUCCUGCCCGGUGCACGAGGGGACUGGUUCAACCUUGCUCUCCAUUGAACGAAUCUGACGGGUUGGCUUAAAGCGAUCUCUCACUCUCUCUGACUUCAUGAAAGACUCUGUCGCGAGGGCAGCACGGAUAGCUCCAUCAAGAGUGCUAGGGUGUGCUCGGAAUAUUCCUCCACGGAUUUCAUGCUCUUCAAUCGCAUCAGAAAAAUGCCCUCUAGCCAAGCGUUCUCUUGCAUCGCUGUUUAAUUCUGGAUAAGCAAGUCCUGUCAAAUCACGGAUGCUUUGCCCCAGCUCCUGCAGAGAUUCAUCCUUACGACGUCUUCUCAUUCUUAAUUCGAUGAGGAAGUUUUCAGAGUUUUCUCCAGGACCAAAUCUUUGCUCCAGCCGAUUUGCCAAUUUGCUGUAAGUAAUCCUCUCAUUCACAGCAAAACUACUAAGUACUUUCAGUGCUGGACCGUGAAGUCUAGUAGCCAAGUACUGUCCUGCUUCUAAAUCAUUCCAGCCAUUCAGAUUCAUGCAAACAUCAAAAUGGCGUUGAUAAUCCUGCCAUGGCAUUUUACCACCAAACUUCUCGGGUAGUACAUCUCUUCGUGAGGAUAUUCCACUUGGGCGUCCAACCACUUCCGUAGGGUCUGUACUGUCCACAUACUGAGUAUUUAGUCUGAACUCCUGUGACGUGUACUCUCGUCGACCCUCUACUGGAAUGGAGUCACCAAAUUCUCCAACACGAACUACCACCUCCGGGUCAGCCACAUCAUUAACCCAACGCUUUGGACUGUCGUCUCUACUCGCGUUCUCAGUUUGAGGAUUUGCAGGAAUAUUUGUAUUUUCUAAGUCCAUUAUGACCUAGAU
Long non-coding RNA from Lytechinus pictus (painted urchin), 1321 nucleotides. RefSeq lists it as uncharacterized. NCBI's taxonomy places the organism in Eukaryota, Metazoa, Echinodermata, Echinoidea, Temnopleuroida, Toxopneustidae. The transcript is spliced from 3 exons. The record is from RefSeq and is a predicted model, not a curated record.